AACGUACGCUGGCGGCACGCCUAACACAUGCAAGUCGAACGAGAAUUUUCUCUUCGGGGAAAUAGUAAAGUGGCGCAAGGGUGAGUAACACGUGAAUAAUCUGCCUACGAAUUCGGGAUAACGCGGCGAAAGCUGUGCUAAUACCGGAUAAGACCACAUCUCUUAAGGGGUGUGGCCAAAGGAACCUCAAGUUCCGUUUGUAGAUGAGUUCGCGAACCAUUAGCUUGUUGGCGGGAUAACAGCCCACCAAGGCUACGAUGGUUAGCCGGCCUGAGAGGGUGAUCGGCCACACUGGAACUGAGACACGGUCCAGACUCCUACGGGAGGCAGCAGUGGGGGAAUAUUGCGCAAUGGGCGAAAGCCUGAUCCAGCCAUGCCGCGUGCAGGAUG
RNAcentral lists this ribosomal RNA (390 nucleotides) under uncultured Nitrospina sp. Its description in RNAcentral is "bacterial SSU rRNA". It matches the Rfam family "Bacterial small subunit ribosomal RNA", at positions 29 to 410 of the family's 1533-position model. Lineage: Bacteria; Pseudomonadati; Nitrospinota; Nitrospinia; Nitrospinales; Nitrospinaceae. The record is from RNAcentral.